RNAcentral lists this ribosomal RNA (337 nucleotides) under uncultured bacterium. RNAcentral's name for it is "bacterial SSU rRNA". It matches the Rfam family "Bacterial small subunit ribosomal RNA", at positions 20 to 358 of the family's 1533-position model. The record is from RNAcentral.
UGGCUCAGAACGACGCUGGCGGCGUGCCUACACAUGCAAGUCGAACGAUGAAGCUGGAGCUUGCUCCGGUGGAUUAGUGGCGAACGGGUGAGUAACACGUGAGCAAUCUGCCCUUCACUCUGGGAUAACUGCGGGAAACUGUAGCUAAUACCGGAUACGAUCCCUGGGGGCAUCCCUGGGGAUGGAAAGAAUUUCGGUGGAGGAUGACUUCGCGGCCUAUCAGCUUGUUGGUGAGGUAAUGGCUCACCAAGGCUACGACGGGUAUCCGGCCUGAGAGGGCGACCGGACACACUGGGACUGAGACACGGCCCAGACUCCUACGGGAGGCAGCAGUGGG